RNAcentral lists this ribosomal RNA (590 nucleotides) under Scrippsiella acuminata. RNAcentral's name for it is "partial large subunit ribosomal RNA". It matches the Rfam family "Eukaryotic large subunit ribosomal RNA", at positions 78 to 657 of the family's 3401-position model. Lineage: Eukaryota; Dinophyceae; Peridiniales; Peridiniaceae. The record is from RNAcentral.
CCUCAGUAAUGGCGAAUGAACAGGGAUGAGCUCAGUAUGGAAAUUGGGGCCUGUGGCCUUGAAUUGUAGUCUGGAGAUGUACUACCAACUGGGGCGCAGAUGUAAGCCUCUUGGAAAAGAGCAUCAAUGAGGGUGAGAGUCCCGCUUGGCAUCUGCAGUCCCCAGUGCACGGUGUACCUUCUAAGAGUCACGUUCCUCGGGAUUGGAGCGCAAAUUGGGUGGUAAAUUUCAUCUAAAGCUAAAUAUUGUUUCGAGACCGAUAGCAAACAAGUACCAUGAGGGAAAGGUGAAAAGGACUUUGAAAAGAGAGUUAAAAGUGCCUGAAAUUGCUGAAAGGGAAGCGAAUGGAACCAGCGUAACUUGGUGAGAUUGCUGCGUAUCAAUGUGAUUGCUUGCUGCUUCAACGUAAGUGUGGUAGUAAGUCUUGAACAGGACAUGCGUGGUGUUUCUUGCCUUGUGUGUCACUGCCAGUUCACAGCUGGGGAAAACUUCAGGGGCAUGGUAGCUUGUCUCCGGAUGGGUGAACGUGUCUGCUGGAACUCAUUUGUGGACUGAUUGGUGACUAAAUGGUUCCAUCUGACCCGUCUUGA